UACAGAGGUCUCAAGCGUUGUUCGGAUUCAUUGGGCGUAAAGGGUGCGUAGGCGGCGCCGUAAGUCGGAUGUGAAAUUUCGGAGCUUAACUUCGAAACUGCAUUCGAUACUGCGGUGCUUGAGGACUGGAGAGGAGACUGGAAUUCAUGGUGUAGCAGUGAAAUGCGUAGAGAUCAUGAGGAAGACCAGUGGCGAAGGCGGGUCUCUGGACAGUUCCUGACACUGAGGCACGAAGGCCAGGGGAGCAAACGGG
RNAcentral lists this ribosomal RNA (253 nucleotides) under uncultured bacterium. Its description in RNAcentral is "partial 16S ribosomal RNA". It matches the Rfam family "Bacterial small subunit ribosomal RNA", at positions 524 to 776 of the family's 1533-position model. The record is from RNAcentral.